RNAcentral lists this transfer RNA (75 nucleotides) under Chloroflexota bacterium. RNAcentral's name for it is "Chloroflexi bacterium tRNA-Asn". It matches the Rfam family "tRNA". Rfam says of the family: Transfer RNA (tRNA) molecules are approximately 80 nucleotides in length. The record is from RNAcentral. Lineage: Bacteria; Bacillati; Chloroflexota.
UCCCCGGUAGCUCAAUGGUAGAGCGGUCGGCUGUUAACCGAUAGGUUGCAGGUUCGAAUCCCGCCCGGGGAGCUA